This 449-nucleotide ribosomal RNA is filed under the name uncultured bacterium. Its description in RNAcentral is "bacterial SSU rRNA". It matches the Rfam family "Bacterial small subunit ribosomal RNA", at positions 354 to 796 of the family's 1533-position model. The record is from RNAcentral.
GUGGGGAAUCUUGCGCAAUGGGCGAAAGCCUGACGCAGCGACGCCGCGUGGGUGAUGAAGGCCUUCGGGUUGUAAAGCCCUGUGGGGAGGGACGAAUAACGACGACUUAAUACGUCGUCAGAUGACGGUACCUCCUUAGCAAGCACCGGCUAACUCUGUGCCAGCAGCCGCGGUAAGACAGAGGGUGCAAACGUUGUUCGGAAUUACUGGGCGUAAAGCGCGUGUAGGCGGUCUGGUAAGUCGGGUGUGAAAGCCCGGGGCUCAACCCCGGAAGUGCAUUCGAUACUACCAAACUAGAGUACUGGAGAGGAUGGUGGAACUCUCGGUGUAGAGGUGAAAUUCGUAGAUAUCGAGAAGAACACCGGUGGCGAAGGCGGCCAUCUGGACAGAUACUGACGCUGAGACGCGAAAGCGUGGGGAGCAAACAGGAUUAGAAACCCCUGUAGUCC